Molecule: long non-coding RNA, 4345 nt
Filed under: Sus scrofa (pig)
Lineage: Eukaryota; Metazoa; Chordata; Mammalia; Artiodactyla; Suidae
Description: lncRNA (ENSSSCG00025038659.1)
Source: RNAcentral
UUUUUUUUUCUGUAUAUCUUGUCUCUUUUUCUAGUAGCAAUUUUCUGAUACUUUCCAUUAACCCUUCUCAGAUGAAAAAAGUACAACCUAUGAUUAACACACUUAGCCAUCAUUACUUUUCUAGGUACAAUUUUUGGCCACAAACCUCCUCAUGUAUUACCAGUCAGCCAACCAGAGUUGGAAGCUCUUGAGUCAUGUAUUCAUUUCCAGCCCAUUAAGUGGCUGCUCUUCACCAAGAUCCCCCCCCCUCAGUCAGGUGGUCCCGCUCAAAAAGAGAUAAUGGGUUUGUUGGUAACAACUAGCAUGUAUGACAGAUAGGAUAGUUACAGACUAUGAAUCAAGGUAAACAAAAAUAUAAAUUUGAUUUCUCUAUAACUGAACUGAAGUCCUAUUUUGAAACUUUAUUCAGAUGAUAGAAAAAAAAUUAGGCUUCAGUAAUUUAAGGUAAGUCACUCAAUUCAGGGUUUUCUCAGUCAAAUAAGAAUUCUUCCCUUACUGAUUCUCCAUGUGUCUUAGUUUGGGUGAGCCCAAAAGUAGCAUCUGAGAGGAGGAAUUAGAUUCUGGUGGUUUGUGUGAGAUGUAUCUUUGGAAACAACAAUGAGACAGCAAAAAGAGUGAGACAUAGGAGAAGAGAAAACAGUAAAGAGUUUGUUGUUGAACUGCUGGCAACUGGAACUCUAUUCUACUGCAUCCUCUUAAUGGCUGGUUAGAAUGAGACCCAUAAUUGUUUCUGAAAAAUAGGGUGCUGAAACACUAAUCCUCCAACUCCCACUCCUCAUUGGUUGAGAACUUCCCCUGGAGGUAUUAAUUGCUCUGUAUUUCUGGACUACCCUGCAUGCAAAUUGAGAAAAACCCCGCAUCUUCAGGAAACAUCCUUAGACAGUAAAGUGUAAAUUUUCGUGCAUGCUUGGAGUAGUCUGCACAAGAACUAGCCACUGGAGCUGCAGUCAAUAUCUGAGGGUAGUCAAAAGAAUGUGAUAUGGAACCCCAAAAUUUUCUACCACACUCCAGGAGCAAAGACAUGUUGUAUCACUGUGUGGGUGAUAGUCAGAUAUCAUAACCUAUCCAAGUUGGAAUCUACUGAGAAAAUUAAGGCUCAAUUUAACUAGUCUUUAUCUUCUAGCUCUGUUAGUAAAUUCUGAGGCAUCUUCAUUGCCCUCUAGUUUCCAAUUGUCAAGGAUAUGUAGGAAAUAUGUACCCUCCUUCCCAUGCCCAUACAGGCCCACACACACAGGUGCACCCUCUCUCCACUCAGCUCUUUCUUCAUUCCUCUCAGGGAAAGGCCUGGAAAGGGGCUUGAGGAGCAGUUCUUAGGAAUGAAACCUGUGGACCCAUUCUCAGGGACACACACAAAAAUCUAUUUCAAUAUUUGCAUCUCCUGACUCUCCAUUCCUUUACACUAAUCUAUGAGAACCCUAUCUAAUUUCAGCAGCUGGGGAAAACUGCCCUGACUCAUUCUGUAUUUUUUUCAUGUGUUUUAUUUAUGUCAUAAACUUUGUGUCCUGAAUCCUUUGAGGUUCUGACUCUUGAUAUUAUGCAACUCAAAAUUUCUACUCUCAUCAUUACUGUCUCUUCUGGGAGUUUCAAAAGGCUGUUUUGAGCCUAAAAAGCUGAGCAUUGACUCCUUUCUUUCCCUUUUGUAUUUCUUAAGUAACUGUACCCUAAGAGUAGUAAGUAUAGAAUAUCCUCUCAUAUUGAGUCUCCAAAAGCAGACCUUGAGAUGAGGACUUGUGUGAAAGUAAUUUAUUAGGACAUGUUCCCCUAAAAUACCAGUAAAGGAGUAAGGAACUGGAAUAGGGAAAGGAAGAAAAACAAGCAAGGCUGUAAUAUUAAACCAAGUCCUGUAAGAGGGUAACUUUGGCUCCAUCCCAGAGUCUAUCCCUGGAGACAAUGAAGGUCAUGCCUCAGAAUUUUCCCCCUCAAGGGACAAGAGAGUUAGAAUAUUUAUCCUCUCAUCCCAUCAGUCAUUGGUUAAGGGCUGCCCAAUGGGAGAAGAGUGAAGGGGAGAGGGUGUGGAGACUGUGGUAUUAAAAUCCCAGUCACUUCAGCAAAUUCUGUUCUGACAGCAUCUGUUGGGAUAGCCUUACCAUUAUCUGAAUGGGGGAUCAGUCUGAGCAGCAGGAAACAGGAGGGAAAGAAACAGAGGAUGAUGUUUCAGAAUAUAAUCUUGCAAUGCAUAUCUACUAUGCUUAACUCCCAUGCUCUCUUACACCAUCAUGAAUUUCAUAGGGGGAUAUUAAGUUUUGUAUACUCUCCUUUUCUUCCAGGCCAAUGGCUUUUUCUGCAAAACUUAAUCUCCCUAGUCACAAGCUCUUUCCCUCUCUGCUCUUGUGUACUAUCCUCUGAGAAUAAGCCUAUCAAAGUUGGGUUUCCCCUACCAGAAUUUGGAGUCCAUAAGAGCAGAAACCAGCUUGUUCUUUUCUGCAUCCCCAGGCCUAAGUGCUCUGUAAAUGCUUAUGAAAGAAUAGAUAAAGGUGUACAGUUCACUCACAGGCUUGGAAAUGUGAGGUAAAUCCUGCCUUGUGCCUCCAAUUCAUGCAUUUUUAUUCAGAUCAAAACAGUUUACAAUGAAUGUUAAGGGAACAAAAUGUCAAAAAUGGUGACACGUGGUUUUAGGGAUGUGUAUGAAAAGGGAAAAGCUUGUUUAGCCCACUUUGCUUUGAUUAUGAAAAGGCCAGCUGAUUAAGAAUAGUUUGUUUAUGAGCACAAGGGUGGUUUUUAGCACUGACCAGGAAGUCCAUCUCCUUGUGCUGCCUUGAGAAAUGUGAGAUUUCCCCCUCUGCAAAAGUGUCAGGUUUUUCUAGAUUUUCUACAACCUGAGGAUAGCUCUUCAUGCACAUGUGCAAUUGCCAAAGAUUAAUAAUGAUAUGAAUAGAUGGGUUGAUAAGUGCAUGGAUGGAUGACGUGUAAAUACAUUUUACUAGACCACUAAACUCUAAUAGAAAUAAGGUAUUAACUGGGAAGACAGUUCCUUUUAGGACAGAAACUUAAUAUCAUGUCAAAAUAUAUUUUUAGAGCUUAAAAAAUAUCCAUAGAUUAUCAUUAGGCACUUAUAAGAAGAAAAAUGAGGAAGUUGAGCAUGAAGUGAACAAUCUGAUUUAUUUAAUAAACUGACAUAAUCACUGGGCCUUAAUGAUUUCCAAAGCAAGCAUAUCCUAUAGUUGGGUCUAUUAUACCUGACAAGACCAUAAUAAUGUGUUGCUAUUUUAGUGGACUGUAAAUAAAACUUCCUACCUGUACCCUUCACCCAAUUCUUAGGAUUGAUGACAUCUACGCCAAGUUAAUGGAGGGAGACAUUCACUGAGUGUUCCUCACACACCAAAAGAUAGAACCAAAAGAUUUUUUAAUAUUCUGUAACCCACGAAGAGUUUUGUUGUCUGGUCAACUUUCUUUGAGGGAAUUUACUGACCUAUGUUAUAUUCUGGACCACAUGAAAAAAAUAUUUUUUUGUAUAGGAAUUUUGUUUGUAGACAUGAAGGCUGAGAUACACUCCCUUUUACAUGCACUCCUCCAGUUCAGACUGUAUCUCAACAUAACAUCACAGUUCUUUCAUUGCUUUUAGAACAGUAGGAUUGGCAGGCAGGCUGCCUCAUAUUAGAGUUUACAUCUAUAUCUGUUUCUUUUGUUGGAUUAAGACUUUCCCCAAAGUAUCUAGAGUAAUGCCUAGCUCAUAGUCUCUGUCACUUCUUUUCUGUGUAGGAAUCCCUUACUGAUCUUCAAAGAUUUAGCUCGAAAGUCAACCCUCAUGCUCCUCUAGAACAGUUAAUUGCUCCCUUUUAUGAGCUCCCCCUACACUGCAUUCACAGUGCUCCUAUAGUGUUUAUCUCAAUUACAGUCACUUAAAUAAAUAUAUGACGCUUCUAUUGAAGCAUGAACUUAUGAAGAGAAAGAAUACUGCAUUUUCACCAUUUUUCCCUUAGUGCCUAACAUACUGCUUGCCAUACAGUAGAUGCUAAAUAAAUCUCUGUUGAAUUAAAGUGUAGUUUAUCUACCAACAAAUAACAAACUGAAGACAAAACUCCCUGAAAUGGAAUUCCAGUUCAAAUUAGGAAAUGUGAGUAAAUUCUAACUCUCAGGAUAAUGAUUAGGGCUGAAGAAGAAAUAUUCUUGGGCUUGAUAAGAGAUCAAGGAAGCGGAGUUCCCGUCGUGGCGCAGUGGUUAACGAAUCCGACUAGGAACCAUGAGGUUGCAGGUUCGGUCCCUGCCCUUGCUCAGUGGGUUAACGAUCCGGCGCUGCCGUGAGCUGUGGUGUAGGUUGCAGACGCGGCUCGGAUCCCGCGUUGCUGUGGCUCUGGCGUAGGCCGGUGGCUACAGCUCCGAUUCAACCCCUAGCCUGGGAACCUCC